RNAcentral lists this ribosomal RNA (253 nucleotides) under uncultured prokaryote. Its description in RNAcentral is "partial 16S ribosomal RNA". It matches the Rfam family "Bacterial small subunit ribosomal RNA", at positions 525 to 777 of the family's 1533-position model. The record is from RNAcentral.
ACGAAGGGUGCAAGCGUUACUCGGAAUUACUGGGCGUAAAGCGUGCGUAGGUGGUUGUUUAAGUCUGUCGUGAAAGCCCUGGGCUCAACCUGGGAAUUGCGAUGGAUACUGGGCGACUAGAGUGUGGUAGAGGGUGGCGGAAUUCCCGGUGUAGCAGUGAAAUGCGUAGAUAUCAGGAGGAAUACCGAUGGCGAAGGCAGGUCUCUGGGCUGACACUGACGCUCAUGCACGAAAGCGUGGGGAGCAAACAGGA